RNAcentral lists this microRNA precursor (114 nucleotides) under Drosophila pseudoobscura. RNAcentral's name for it is "microRNA dps-mir-2503 precursor". Lineage: Eukaryota; Metazoa; Arthropoda; Insecta; Diptera; Drosophilidae. The record is from miRBase by way of RNAcentral.
GCUUCUCGCUCACCAUGAAUUCCCACUCGAAAAUAUGAUAUGCUCGGCAUCCUCCGGGCAGGAAGGAGGAUGCCGAGCAUAUUAUAUUUUCUUGUGGUAGAUUCUCAGCGCAGC